This 310-nucleotide ribosomal RNA is filed under the name uncultured bacterium. RNAcentral describes it as "partial 16S ribosomal RNA". The stretch from base 65 to 303 matches the Rfam family "Bacterial small subunit ribosomal RNA", at positions 106 to 347 of the family's 1533-position model. The record is from RNAcentral.
CGUUCGUUCCUUUCCGUCCCGGGCCCGGGACCCGGGACCCGGGCCGACCGGUACGGGGUAGAACGUAACGACGUACGCAACCUGCCCCUGUCAGGGGGACAACCCGCCGAAAGGCGGGCUAAACCCGCGUACAUGCCACCGGGGCAUCCCGGAGGCAGGAAAGGCUUCGGCCGGACAGGGAUGGGCAUGCGGCGCAUUAGGCAGUAGGCGGGGUAACGGCCCACCUAACCGACGAUGCGUAGGGGUUCUGAGAGGAAGGUCCCCCACACUGGUACUGAGACACGGACCAGACUCCUACGGAAGGCAGCAG